RNAcentral lists this ribosomal RNA (492 nucleotides) under uncultured bacterium. RNAcentral describes it as "partial 16S ribosomal RNA". It matches the Rfam family "Bacterial small subunit ribosomal RNA", at positions 29 to 507 of the family's 1533-position model. The record is from RNAcentral.
AGUGAACGCUGGCGGUAGGCCUAACACAUGCAAGUCGAACGGCAGCACAGUAAGAGCUUGCUCUUACGGGUGGCGAGUGGCGGACGGGUGAGGAAUACAUCGUAAUCUACUUUUUCGUGGGGGAUAACGUAGGGAAACUUACGCUAAUACAGCAUACGACGUACGGGUGAAAGCAGGGGAUCUUCGGACCUUGCGCGGUUGAAUGAGCCGAUGUCGGAUUAGCUAGUUGGCGGGGUAAAGGCCCACCAAGGCGACGAUCCGUAGCUGGUCUGAGAGGAUGAUCAGCCACACUGGAACUGAGACACGGUCCAGACUCCUACGGGAGGCAGCAGUGGGGAAUAUUGGACAAUGGGCGCAAGCCUGAUCCAGCCAUACCGCGUGGGUGAAGAAGGCCUUCGGGUUGUAAAGCCCUUUUGUUGGGAAAGAAAAGCAGCAGGUUAAUACCCCGCUGUUCUGACGGUACCCAAAGAAUAAGCACCGGCUAACUUCGUG